UGUCAGAGGGACAGGAGGGAGAACACAGCAACACACAGAGCAGGUGAACAGGGAAACUACAUACUUCAUGGUUUUCUCUUUGAAGGGUUAAAAUGCAUCAUGAGUUUGCCUUCUGAAAUGAGUCUGUCUUUGGAGAGAGAGGAGGGGACCACUGACCCAAAAAUUGGACUAACUGGGGAGUAUGAGCUAGAUGUUAAAGCAGCGGGAGUCCAUCAGGAGAGACCAGACUCCCCUGAACUCAGCUGUCUGUCUAUGAAGAGUGACAUGUCUAUGGAUCAUCCAAACAAAUUCAC
Esox lucius (northern pike) is the source of this 293-nucleotide long non-coding RNA. RefSeq lists it as uncharacterized. Lineage: Eukaryota; Metazoa; Chordata; Actinopteri; Esociformes; Esocidae. The record is from RefSeq and is a predicted model, not a curated record. The transcript has 3 exons.